This 89-nucleotide non-coding RNA is filed under the name Candidatus Dadabacteria. RNAcentral describes it as "c-di-GMP sequence". It matches the Rfam family "c-di-GMP-I riboswitch aptamer". Rfam says of the family: GEMM was predicted in a large-scale screen for bacterial structured RNA regulatory elements. Genes associated with GEMM are involved in a diverse array of functions, including chemotaxis regulation, signal transduction, secretion and chitin. The record is from RNAcentral. Lineage: Bacteria; Pseudomonadati; Thermodesulfobacteriota.
AAGACGAAAGGGCUAAGUAUCCGAAAGGGUGCGGCGCAAAGCUAGAGGCCUAAAAGCCUGAAAAGGUUCACGGCGGCUCGGUUGCCGAA